RNAcentral lists this ribosomal RNA (431 nucleotides) under uncultured soil bacterium. RNAcentral describes it as "bacterial SSU rRNA". It matches the Rfam family "Bacterial small subunit ribosomal RNA", at positions 8 to 455 of the family's 1533-position model. The record is from RNAcentral.
AGAGUUUGAUCCUGGCUCAGAAUCAACGCUGGCGGCGCGCUUAACACAUGCAAGUCGCACGAGAAAGGGAGCAAUCCUAAGUAAAGUGGCGCACGGGUGAGUAACACGUGGAUCAUCUACCUUUUAGUGGGGAAUACCUCUGGGAAACCGGAGACAAUACCGCAUAAGCCUGUAAAGGGAAAGCAGCAAUGCGCUGAAAGAGGAGUCCGCGGCCGAUUAGCUAGUUGGCGGGGUAACGGCCCACCAAGGCGAAGAUCGGUAGCCGGCCUGAGAGGGCACACGGCCACACUGGCACUGAAACACGGGCCAGACUCCUACGGGAGGCAGCAGUGGGGAAUCUUGCACAAUGGGCGAAAGCCUGAUGCAGCGACGCCGCGUGAGCGAUGAAGCCCUUCGGGGUGUAAAGCUCUUUCGACGGGAACGAUAAUGAC